This is a non-coding RNA of Tetranychus urticae (two-spotted spider mite), 2465 nucleotides long. NCBI's taxonomy places the organism in Eukaryota, Metazoa, Arthropoda, Arachnida, Trombidiformes, Tetranychidae. The record is from RefSeq and is a predicted model, not a curated record.
UAGUGUCUCUAACAUAUGAACUUGAGGUUUCUUCUGUUAGUCCAUUGAACUUGUGUUAAUAUUGGAUGUUAAUUGUUGCUUAUGAUUUUACCAUCAAUUAUCCUGAUUGUGAACAGUCAAUUUUAUUGAUUAACCUGGCUGAUCAAUCCACCACCCAUUAUCAUCAUAAUAAUCAUGGCCAUCAUCCUCACCAUGGAGAGAGUAUUCAUCAAACUGUUUCAAUCUAUUCCAAAGCAACCAAAAGAUGUAAAUCAUUAUUGGCAAAAUUUUUAUCCAUUACGCUAAACCAACCACCCAAAGGAAAGGAUAAUAAUGACGACAACAAUUAUCUUACAACUUUUUAUUUUAAAUUUGUUUUGCAUAGAAAAAAAGAGAUUUUUUCUUUUUUCAAAAUGUUCUGUACAAUGAUAAAAGUAGCGUUUCUUCACUACUUUAGUCAAUCGAUUGAGUUUCCAAAAAAAACAGUGAUUUACAAUUAUUUACAGAGCUCAUUUUAAAUACAUUAUUACAAGAUGUUCAUUGUUGGUUCAUUGUUGGUUGCAUCCAUUGAAAAAGAUCUCGCUACUGGAAAUCCUGUCCAUCACAUUUAUCUCGACAACUUUUAACUCUUUGAGCACAUUUCUGUUUCGCUUGCCACGACUUCAUGGUAUUUUUGUACUUUUCAAAUUCAUGGCACCAAUCAGAAUAGAUUUUGCGAUAUUCUGCUUCAUUCAUGGCUGUACAAGUUUCUGUUAAAGCGGAGAGACAAAAAAAAGGAGAGAAACAAGAAAAAUUCAAUUAGUUAAUCAAGUUACAUGACAAACAUGAGCUACUUCAACAUUUGCUUUUGUCAACUUUUUUGUUUUUAAAACAAAACGUUGCUGAUAAUUAUGUUUAAUACAUAUUUUCAUGUUAACCAAACAUUUAUCUUAAAAGUUAUAAUGAGAUAUAAGAUUUAACGUAUUUUGUUCAAGAGAAGCGCAAAGUUAUUUCCUUUGGAUAAUCAAGUCAAGUGAAGAUGAGAAGAAAAUUUUCAACAGAAGCUUAAUGAAAAUGAAGAAGAAGAAGAAAAAAAAGAUGAACUUGAUGAGGUUGUGAGAAGAGGAAACAUGAGUUCUGAAAGAAUCGGAAACAAGCUGGUUAUACAUAGUUAAAGACAAGGGAAUGGGAAGGUUAAUAUUACAUGGGAAGAAUAAGGUUGACCUCGCUCUUGUUUAACUUGAGCUAAGCUACAGUCAAUCAUCAUUUGUCAGGUCAUAAAUGGCAUUCAAUAAAAGUGUACAAAAAGAUGAACAAGACUGGUGAAGAUGAAAAGAUGAAGAUGCUGAUUAUGGAUGGCAAAAAACACACACUAUUAGACAAUGAAAGGGAGAAGAGAGAAAAAAGAGGAAAACAAGGAAUGAUGAUGACAACGAUGAAGAUGAUGAAGAUAGAGAUGAAUAUAAAAAAUAGUUGAAAAGAAAGAGAUUACGAUGAGAGAGGAAAGAUGAUGUGAGAAAGGUUGAAGACAAGAAAAAGGAUCAUCACUUGGAUAAAAAAUGAAAGCCUGGUUGAGACAUUUUGCAAUCUCUUUUUUCCUUUGAUUUUCCCUGUUCAGUGUUUUUUUUCUAUUCACAAGUAUCUUGAAAACGAUGAUUAUCAUGGAUGAUAAUGGUAAGAGCAUGAGAUGAAGUAAAGGUCUAAAGGUCAAUAUCAUCAUUAUCAGAAUGGUUUUCACACCAUUGGAACAAAUCAAGUAAGAUAAAGAUGAAGAUAUAAAGCAUUGGUCAGGACAAGAGGAAAAUGGGCAUGAAAGUUGCACUGAAUUUUAAGAGUGAAAAGAGGUAAGUGAAGGAAAUAGCAAGGAAAAAUGUUGAACAAAUCGCUUCACUAGAAUUGAUUGAAAGACCUUAUUUUUCAACAUUUUUUUUUCUUCUUCUUCUUUACUUUUGCUGCUUUUGUUUUUCAACUAAAUACAGAUUCAUUGGAGUUCAUCUGAUAUAAAGCAAUAUCCAAAAUUGGGAAAAAACUUUUUUGCUGGUCAACAAAGUGAAACAAUGAAAGGGAAAAGAUGAAGAUGCAAGAGGAAAGGACAAACAUGAAGAUGAAAAACUCUUCAUUUUCUCAAGACGUUUUUUGACUCUUUUUUGUUCAUACUUUUGCCUUCUUCAUUUUUUAAAGAUGAAGUGGAAGAGAAAAGAUGAUAAAGAUGAGAAGUUGUACAUUAUCUUGUUUAGAGUUUUAUAAAACCUUUUUCUCUUCAUCUUAUUCAUCUUCUUUUCCUUGUUUAAAAAACGUUUUCUUCUUUCAGUGGAAGAUGAAAAAAACUCAUUUCUUAUUCAGUUUUUCACUUGAUUCAAUUCAAUUUUGCCCUGUUUCCACUUUGCAAUCAUCUUUAUCUUCAUCUUCAGGUUGUUGUCAUUGAAGGAAAACUUGAUAAUAAAUAUAUUAUGUGUACAUCGAGGAUCAUGAUGAUGAAUAUGUUUUAACAAGUGAAAACAAAAUUU